GACGAACGCUGGCGGCGUGCCUAAUACAUGCAAGUUGAGCGAUGAAGCUUGGUGCUUGCACCCAUUUGAAGAGCAGCGAACGGGUGAGUAACGCGUGGGGAAUCUGCCUUUGAGCGGGGGACAACAUUUGGAAACGAAUGCUAAUACCGCAUAACAACUUUAAACAUAAGUUUUAAGUUUUAAAGAUGCAAUUGCAUCACUCAAAGAUGAUCCCGCGUUGUAUUAGCUAGUUGGUGAGGUAAAGGCUCACCAAGGCGAUGAUACAUAGCCGGCCUGAGAGGGUGAUCGGCCACAAUGGGAAUGAGACAAGGCCCAAACUCCUACGGGAGGCAGCAGUAGGGAAUCUUCGGCAAUGGACGAAAGUCUGACCGAGCAACGCCGCGUGAGUGAAGAAGGUUUUCGGAUCGUAAAACUCUGUUGGUAGAGAAGAAAGGUGGUGAGAGUGGAAAGCUCAUCAAGUGACGGUAACUACACAGAAAGGGACGGCUAACUACGUG
Molecule: ribosomal RNA, 497 nt
Filed under: uncultured bacterium
Lineage: Bacteria
Description: partial 16S ribosomal RNA
Rfam family: Bacterial small subunit ribosomal RNA
Source: RNAcentral